UGGUUGGUUUUAAGAUCUAACACUCUCGUCGUAUACAGCUUCUGCUCGAUGUGAGCUGCUCUUGAUCGGGGCGGGUGAUCGUGGGUCCUGCCUAUGGGAUAACUCCGGGAAACCGGGGCUAAUACCGGAUAACAUUUUGCACUGCAUGGUGCAAAAUUGAAAGGCGGCUUCGGCUGUCACUUAUGGAUGGACCCGCGUCGCAUUAGCUAGUUGGUGAGGUAACGGCUCACCAAGGCAGCGAUGCGUAGCCGACCUGAGAGGGUGAUCGGCCACACUGGGACUGAGACACGGCCCAGACUCCUACGGGAGGCAGCAGUAGGGAAUCUUCCGCAAUGGACGAAAGUCUGACGGAGCAACGC
Molecule: ribosomal RNA, 359 nt
Filed under: uncultured bacterium
Lineage: Bacteria
Description: bacterial SSU rRNA
Rfam family: Bacterial small subunit ribosomal RNA
Source: RNAcentral